Ovis aries (sheep) is the source of this 1005-nucleotide long non-coding RNA. The record is from Ensembl. NCBI's taxonomy places the organism in Eukaryota, Metazoa, Chordata, Mammalia, Artiodactyla, Bovidae.
CCGGGAGGAGCCUAGGUGUGCUCAGUGGAAUCAGGGCUGGACCAGGGCACUCCAGCCAGGACCUCAGGGCAGCUGCUCCGGGACCCCGCCCACUCCCUACACAUCCCCUCACCCUUCUCCCUCUGGUUCGCUGAUUCCCCGUGCUCCUGUCUUUCCUGCCUUUGGCCACUUGGACAUGAUGGCCUCACCAACAGAAAUCCCUCAUGGGGGAUUUUGAAAUUCCCAAAAGAAGGGCUCUGAUUCAUCCUGCUCAUCUUUUGGAGCCAGGACGUGUCACUCAUAGGUCAUCAGCUGUCCUUGGCCAGGUGCCCACCAUAGUGUGAAGGAGGGGAUGGCUGUGGGGUCCUGAUGCAUGGUACCCCCUUUUCUUUGCAGGGGGGGGUACAGGACAGGCUGUGAGGCCUGCCAGCCUGAGAGGGAUGGAAAGGAGGAGACCCUUCUCAUCAAGGAGAUGAGCAUGGCCGGAGAUGCCGGGCCAACAACAUUCAGGUUACUGCUGUCCGGCUCGCUGGGAUCCACUGCCCCUCAUUCCUACACUCGGCCCUGCGCCGGGCACACAGCAUCCUCCCAGCCACCCUCAUAAGUGAGCGAUAUUGUUAUCCUUGUUUCACGGAUGACAAAAUUGACUCCCAAAGGGCCUCGGGAUGGCUGGGCGGCCUGCCCGCUGGUGCCACUCUGCCCAUCAGGGUGCCCUCUCCCAUCACACCCACCUGAGGGUCUGUCUUGCAGCCGUGGUCUGGAGGGCAGCUCGGCUGUCAUCUGCGCUCUGGAGUUGAUGUCUUGCUCAAGCCUCAGAAACGUGUCAGCGUGUGGAAGAGCCUGUCAGUCAUCAUUCUAUUUCCCAGCCUCCCCGCUCUCUCUAGCCGCACUGCCCAGUACCCAGCAGCAUCAAGGGCUGAAGGCCGUGCCUCCUGAAACAGUGGUCCAAUUGCUUCGCAGCGUGGUUAUAGCCUUUGCUACCCCCAUUAGCAGCAUGAGGGGGAAAAUAAAAUUCAAAGCCCAAAU